Molecule: ribosomal RNA, 1397 nt
Filed under: Streptomyces sp. NRRL B-1568
Lineage: Bacteria; Bacillati; Actinomycetota; Actinomycetes; Kitasatosporales; Streptomycetaceae
Description: bacterial LSU rRNA
Rfam family: Bacterial large subunit ribosomal RNA
Source: RNAcentral
CUGAGACCUGAUGCCGAGCCGAUUGUGGUGAAGUGGAUGAUCCUAUGCUGUCGAGAAAAGCCUCUAGCGAGUUUCAUGGCGGCCCGUACCCUAAACCGACUCAGGUGGUCAGGUAGAGAAUACCGAGGCGUUCGGGUGAACUAUGGUUAAGGAACUCGGCAAAAUGCCCCCGUAACUUCGGGAGAAGGGGGGCCAUGUCUGGUGAUGGGAUUUACUUCCUGAGCUGGGUGUGGCCGCAGAGACCAGCGAGAAGCGACUGUUUACUAAAAACACAGGUCCGUGCGAAGCCGUAAGGCGAUGUAUACGGACUGACGCCUGCCCGGUGCUGGAACGUUAAGGGGACCGGUUAGUCAGGAUUCGUUCUGGCGAAGCUGAGAACUUAAGCGCCAGUAAACGGCGGUGGUAACUAUAACCAUCCUAAGGUAGCGAAAUUCCUUGUCGGGUAAGUUCCGACCUGCACGAAUGGCGUAACGACUUCUCGACUGUCUCAACCAUAGGCCCGGUGAAAUUGCACUACGAGUAAAGAUGCUCGUUUCGCGCAGCAGGACGGAAAGACCCCGGGACCUUUACUAUAGCUUGAUAUUGGUGUUCGGUUCGGCUUGUGUAGGAUAGGUGGGAGACUGUGAAGUCAUGGCGCCAGCCAUGGUGGAGUCGUCGUUGAAAUACCACUCUGGUCGUGCUGGAUGUCUAACCUGGGUCCGUGAUCCGGAUCAGGGACAGUGUCUGGUGGGUAGUUUAACUGGGGCGGUUGCCUCCUAAAGGGUAACGGAGGCGCCCAAAGGUUCCCUCAGCCUGGUUGGCAAUCAGGUGUUGAGUGUAAGUGCACAAGGGAGCUUGACUGUGAGACCGACGGGUCGAGCAGGGACGAAAGUCGGGACUAGUGAUCCGGCGGUGGCUUGUGGAAGCGCCGUCGCUCAACGGAUAAAAGGUACCCCGGGGAUAACAGGCUGAUCUUCCCCAAGAGUCCAUAUCGACGGGAUGGUUUGGCACCUCGAUGUCGGCUCGUCGCAUCCUGGGGCUGGAGUCGGUCCCAAGGGUUGGGCUGUUCGCCCAUUAAAGCGGUACGCGAGCUGGGUUUAGAACGUCGUGAGACAGUUCGGUCCCUAUCCGCUGCGCGCGCAGGAGUCUUGAGAAGGGCUGUCCCUAGUACGAGAGGACCGGGACGGACGAACCUCUGGUGUGCCAGUUGUCCUGCCAAGGGCAUGGCUGGUUGGCUACGUUCGGGAGGGAUAACCGCUGAAAGCAUCUAAGCGGGAAGCCUGCUUCGAGAUGAGGACUCCCACCCACUUGAUGGGGUAAGGCUCCCAGUAGACGACUGGGUUGAUAGGCCAGGUGUGGAAGACCGGUAACGGUUGGAGCUGACUGGUACUAAUAGGCCGAGGGCUUGUCCUCAGUUG